GGUCCGAUGCCACGUCGGCGGUAGCAAAAAAAAAAAAUAGCAGUGACCGGCGAUGCUAUGAUCGGACCAACAUCAAGUUUUUUUUGACGCUUCGCAUUUUGAUAGGAAUCUGUGGAUGAAUAUUUGGUUUUUCCACGGAGCCGUUUUGUGCGAUUACAUUA
This 161-nucleotide small nucleolar RNA is filed under the name Nicotiana attenuata. Its description in RNAcentral is "Small nucleolar RNA snoR2/U65". It matches the Rfam family "Small nucleolar RNA snoR2/U65". Lineage: Eukaryota; Viridiplantae; Streptophyta; Magnoliopsida; Solanales; Solanaceae. The record is from Rfam by way of RNAcentral.